Molecule: long non-coding RNA, 1140 nt
Organism: Diabrotica virgifera virgifera (western corn rootworm)
Lineage: Eukaryota; Metazoa; Arthropoda; Insecta; Coleoptera; Chrysomelidae
Exons: 3
Source: RefSeq, a predicted model, not a curated record
UGAUCAAAAAUUACAAGGUUUCCAACAAAAGAAUUUUGUAUAACACCCUGAUCGACGAGGGUCGUCUGUAAGGCCAAGUUUAAGACAUAAAACGUUAAGAUUUGAAUAAUCUAUAUUGUCGGGAUUAUCAGUACAUACCUUUCAUAAAAAUGAACACCUACAUUUUGCAUUAUAUUUUACAAAAAAAAAUCGUUUCAUUGGUAUUCUAAUUGUUUUAUUAGGUUUGUUCCAACCCUUCACAUUAUCGUUCUCGAAUGGUUACGCGUAUGCGCAUGCGCAAAAUUAUGCGCAGUAACACAUUUUUCGUUACUGCGCAUACUCAUAACAAUCUGGUGAUUUUUAACAAAAUCUGGCAACUUUUGAAGCAAUUGUCUGGUGAUUUUUAGUUUUUUGACCUGGCAACCUUGAUAAUAUAUGUCAAUAUGGCUACUGGGUGUAAAAGAUAAAUGUUAUUCUAUCUGUUCUUAAUGAGUUUUAGAUAAUUUUAGUUGUAUUUCUUUGUAAUUUUGUGUUGUACAAAGAUUAAUUUAACAUUUUCUCUGGAAGUAUUAAUUUAGAAAGAUAAUAUGCUUCAAUGGUGUUGUGUUUUGAAGUGUGAAAUGCAAAGUACCUAAUUGUGAUAAAGUCAAGAUAAAGUUCACUUUUAAACUGAACUAAAUAAGGUAUCUGAGAGACAACAAUGGUUAAAUGCAAUACAAUGUACAGGUUUUACUAGCGAAAUGAAAAUUUUCCUGUCCUGUCUGCUGUAAUCAUUUUAUAUCUGGAAAACCAGCCGACUUAAUCGAUAAUAACAAUCUCCAGAUUGGGUUCCUUCAAUAAAUAUGGGCUAUAAACACAAUGAAAUAAGUUCCCCAAAAUCUAAAAUGGAGUGGUAUCAAAGGAGAAUUAAAGGAAAAAAUAUUCAUAUUGAAAUUAUUUAUAAGGCACUGGACUGUCUUAAAUUCUACAAUAAUACUAGAAUCAGCUGAGAGAAGUGGUCUACAAAAAACCAGGAAGGAAACGGAAUAUGUGGCUACGAAAGGCAAAAGAAAAGUUUACAAAGCAAAUGUGACACAUUUUUUUGAAAUAUUUAGGAAUAUUAGUAAAUUGCAUUAAAAAAAUGUAUGAAAAGAUUUUGUUCAAUAAAAAUGUUUAUAUUUA